This 2798-nucleotide ribosomal RNA is filed under the name Stenotrophomonas maltophilia. RNAcentral describes it as "bacterial LSU rRNA". It matches the Rfam family "Bacterial large subunit ribosomal RNA". The record is from RNAcentral. Lineage: Bacteria; Pseudomonadati; Pseudomonadota; Gammaproteobacteria; Lysobacterales; Lysobacteraceae.
AGCGCACACGGUGGAUGCCUUGGCGGUCAGAGGCGAUGAAGGACGUGGCAGCCUGCGAAAAGUAUCGGGGAGCUGGCAACAAGCUUUGAUCCGGUAAUGUCCGAAUGGGGAAACCCACCCGCUUGCGGGUAUCCUGCAGUGAAUACAUAGCUGCUGGAAGCGAACCUGGUGAACUGAAAUAUCUAAGUAACCAGAGGAAAAGAAAUCAACCGAGAUUCCGUAAGUAGCGACGAGCGAACGCGGACUAGCCCUUAAGCUGAUUUGGUUCUAGGAAAACGCUCUGGAAAGAGCGGCCAUAGAAGGUGAUAGCCCUGUAUCUGAAAGGGCCAUUUCAGUGAAGACGAGUAGGGCGGGGCACGUGAAACCCUGUCUGAACAUGGGGGGACCAUCCUCCAAGGCUAAAUACUACUGACCGACCGAUAGUGAACCAGUACCGUGAGGGAAAGGCGAAAAGAACCCCGGAGAGGGGAGUGAAAUAGAACCUGAAACCGUGUGCGUACAAGCAGUAGGAGCUCCGCAAGGAGUGACUGCGUACCUUUUGUAUAAUGGGUCAGCGACUUACUGUUCGUGGCAAGCUUAACCGUAUAGGGGAGGCGAAGGGAAACCGAGUCUGAUAAGGGCGCAUAGUCGCGGGCAGUAGACCCGAAACCGGGUGAUCUAGUCAUGCCCAGGGUGAAGGUGCGGUAACACGCACUGGAGGCCCGAACCCACUCCCGUUGCAAAGGUAGGGGAUGAGGUGUGAUUAGGAGUGAAAAGCUAAUCGAACCCGGAGAUAGCUGGUUCUCCUCGAAAGCUAUUUAGGUAGCGCCUCAUAUGUAUCCUCUCGGGGGUAGAGCACUGUUAUGGCUAGGGGGUCAUCGCGACUUACCAAACCAUUGCAAACUCCGAAUACCGAGACGGACUGUAUGGGAGACACACGGCGGGUGCUAACGUCCGUCGUGAAAAGGGAAACAACCCAGACCCACAGCUAAGGUCCCAAAUUUUGUGCUAAGUGGAAAACCAUGUGGAAAGGCACAGACAGCCAGGAGGUUGGCUUAGAAGCAGCCACCCUUUAAAGAAAGCGUAAUAGCUCACUGGUCGAGUCGGUCUGCGGGGAAGAUUUAACGGGGCUAAGCACAGAACCGAAGCUUGGGGUGCAUAACUUUGUUAUGCGCGGUAGAGGAGCGUUCCGUAAGCCGUUGAAGGUGGAUUGAGAAGUCUGCUGGAGGUAUCGGAAGUGCGAAUGCUGACAUGAGUAACGAUAAUGCGGGUGAAAAACCCGCACGCCGAAAGCCCAAGGUUUCCUUGCGCAACGUUAAUCGGCGCAGGGUGAGUCGGCCCCUAAGGCGAGGACGAAAGUCGUAGUCGAUGGGAAGCAGGUUAAUAUUCCUGCACCUCGCGUAAGUGCGAUGGAGGGACGGAGAAGGUUAGGUGUACCAGGCGUUGGUUGUCCUGGGGAAAGGCGGUAGGUUUGGAUCUUUGGCAAAUCCGGGAUCCUCUAAGACCGAGCACCGAGACGAGCCUUUAUGGCGAAGUCACUGAUACCACGCUUCCAGGAAAAGCUCCUAAGCUUCAGCUUACGCAGACCGUACCGUAAACCGACACAGGUGGGUAGGAUGAGAAUUCUCAGGCGCUUGAGAGAACUCGGGUGAAGGAACUAGGCAACAUGGCACCGUAACUUCGGGAGAAGGUGCACCCUUUUUGGUGGCUCGUGCGAGCUAUAGCUGAAGAGGGUCGCAGUAACCAGGCCGCUGCGACUGUUUAUCAAAAACACAGCACUCUGCAAACACGAAAGUGGACGUAUAGGGUGUGACGCCUGCCCGGUGCUGGAAGGUUAAUUGAUGGGGUCAGCCGCAAGGCGAAGCUCUUGAUCGAAGCCCCAGUAAACGGCGGCCGUAACUAUAACGGUCCUAAGGUAGCGAAAUUCCUUGUCGGGUAAGUUCCGACCUGCACGAAUGGCGUAACGACAGCGGCGCUGUCUCCACCCGAGACUCAGUGAAAUUGAAAUCGCUGUGAAGAUGCAGCGUUCCCGUGGCAAGACGGAAAGACCCCGUGAACCUUUACUAUAGCUUUACACUGAACGUUGAGUUCGUCUGUGUAGGAUAGGUGGGAGGCUAUGAAACUGUGGCGCUAGCUGCAGCGGAGCCAUCCUUGAAAUACCACCCUGUCGUGCUUGACGUUCUAACCUGGGCCCAUUAUCUGGGUCGGGGACCGUGUAUGGUGGGUAGUUUGACUGGGGCGGUCUCCUCCUAAAGAGUAACGGAGGAGCUCGAAGGUACGCUCAGCGCGGUCGGACAUCGCGCACUGUGUGCAAAGGCAUAAGCGUGCUUGACUGCAAGAUCGACGGAUCAAGCAGGUAGGAAACUAGGACUUAGUGAUCCGGUGGUUCUGUAUGGAAGGGCCAUCGCUCAACGGAUAAAAGGUACUCCGGGGAUAACAGGCUGAUACCGCCCAAGAGUUCAUAUCGACGGCGGUGUUUGGCACCUCGAUGUCGGCUCAUCACAUCCUGGGGCUGUAGUCGGUCCCAAGGGUAUGGCUGUUCGCCAUUUAAAGUGGUACGCGAGCUGGGUUCAGAACGUCGUGAGACAGUUCGGUCCCUAUCUGCCAUGGGCGUUGGAGAUUUGAGAGGGGCUGCUCCUAGUACGAGAGGACCGGAGUGGACGAACCUCUGGUGUUCCGGUUGUCACGCCAGUGGCAUUGCCGGGUAGCUAUGUUCGGAAGCGAUAACCGCUGAAAGCAUCUAAGCGGGAAGCGCGCCUCAAGAUGAGAUCUCCCGGGGCACAAGCCCCCUGAAGGAACCAUGUAGACUACGUGGUUGA